AACUUUCUUCAACGGAUCUCUUGGUUCUGGCAUCGAUGAAGAACGCAGCAAAAUGCGAUAAGUAAUGUGAAUUGCAGAAUUCAGUGAAUCAUCGAAUCUUUGAACGCACAUUGCGCCCGCCAGUAUUCUGGCGGGCAUGCCUGUUCGAGCGUCAUUUCA
This 159-nucleotide ribosomal RNA is filed under the name Fusarium anthophilum. RNAcentral describes it as "5.8S ribosomal RNA". It matches the Rfam family "5.8S ribosomal RNA". From Rfam's summary of the family: 5.8S ribosomal RNA (5.8S rRNA) is a component of the large subunit of the eukaryotic ribosome. Lineage: Eukaryota; Fungi; Ascomycota; Sordariomycetes; Hypocreales; Nectriaceae. The record is from RNAcentral.